RNAcentral lists this ribosomal RNA (274 nucleotides) under uncultured bacterium. Its description in RNAcentral is "partial 16S ribosomal RNA". It matches the Rfam family "Bacterial small subunit ribosomal RNA", at positions 523 to 796 of the family's 1533-position model. The record is from RNAcentral.
AUACGGAGGGUGCAAGCGUUAUUCGGAAUCACUGGGCGUAAAGGGUGCGUAGGCGGUUUGAUAAGUCUGAUGUGAAAUCCUAUGGCUCAACCAUAGAACUGCAUUGGAAACUGUCAGACUAGAAUACUGAAGGGGCAGAUGGAAUUAGUGGUGUAGGGGUAAAAUCCGUAGAUAUCACUGGGAAUACCGAAAGCGAAAGCGAUCUGCUGGGAAGUUAUUGACGCUGAGGCACGAAAGCGUGGGGAGCAAACGGGAUUAGAAACCCUUGUAGUCC